UCUAACAUGUACGCGAGUCAUUGGGAUUUGAAAACCUAAAGGCGUAAUGAACGUGAAGGUCGGCCCUAGCGUCGACCGAGGGAGGAUGGCUUCGCGUUACGAUGCGAGCCCGCACUCCCGGGGCAUCUCGUGCUCAUUGCGAGCAGCGGUGCACCCAGAGCGUACACGUUGGGACCCGAAAGAUGGUGAACUAUGCCUGGUCAGGACGAAGUCAGGGGAAACCCUGAUGGAGGUCCGCAGCGAUUCUGACGUGCAAAUCGAUCGUCGGAACUGGGUAUAGGGGCGAAAGACUAAUCGAACCAUCUAGUAGCUGGUUCCCUCCGAAGUUUCCCUUAGGAUAGCUGGCACUCGCUUGAGCGAGUCUCAUCUGGUAAAGCGAAUGAUUAGAGGCCUUGGGGCCGAAACGACCUCAACCUAUUCUCAAACUUUAAAUGGGUGAGAUCUCUGGCUUGCUUGAACGUUGAAGCCAGAGAUUUUUUUUGCAAUGGAUCAGAGUGCCAAGUGGGCCAAUUUUGG
Molecule: ribosomal RNA, 516 nt
Filed under: Monodontomerus mexicanus
Lineage: Eukaryota; Metazoa; Arthropoda; Insecta; Hymenoptera; Torymidae
Description: LSU rRNA
Rfam family: Eukaryotic large subunit ribosomal RNA
Source: RNAcentral